RNAcentral lists this ribosomal RNA (180 nucleotides) under Afrocalliandra gilbertii. Its description in RNAcentral is "5.8S ribosomal RNA". The stretch from base 1 to 156 matches the Rfam family "5.8S ribosomal RNA". Rfam says of the family: 5.8S ribosomal RNA (5.8S rRNA) is a component of the large subunit of the eukaryotic ribosome. It is transcribed by RNA polymerase I as part of the 45S precursor that also contains 18S and 28S rRNA. Lineage: Eukaryota; Viridiplantae; Streptophyta; Magnoliopsida; Fabales; Fabaceae. The record is from RNAcentral.
GACUCUCGGCAACGGAUAUCUCGGCUCUCGCAUCGAUGAAGAACGUAGCGAAAUGCGAUACUUGGUGUGAAUUGCAGAAUCCCGUGAACCAUCGAGUUUUUGAACGCAAGUUGCGCCCGAAGCCUUUAGGCUGAGGGCACGUCUGCCUGGGUGUCACGCAGCGUCGCCACCGCCCAGAAU